RNA transcript from Canis lupus familiaris (dog), 809 nucleotides. RefSeq lists it as uncharacterized. The transcript is spliced from 3 exons. Lineage: Eukaryota; Metazoa; Chordata; Mammalia; Carnivora; Canidae. The record is from RefSeq and is a predicted model, not a curated record.
CUGUCUUGGAUGCCAUUCAUGCCUUCUCUCUCCCUCUUGUUCAUCUGGUGAACUGUCCCCUUGAGUUCUAAGCUUUUCCCCAAAUCCCCCCACACACAGAAUUAGGCAAACCUCCCUUCUCUAGACCCCAGAACCUCAUAUUCACCUAUUCACCAUUCAUUCCACUAAUGUUUAUUAAGUACCUCUUGUGAGCAAGGUCUUCUACAUUCCCUAGGAUUGGAUUUCCUCUGUGCUGUGUUUGUUUGCCUGUCUCCCCACUGCUGAGCCCAGUGUUUGGCACAUGGCAGGCGUCCCAAGUUACUGUUUCUUAAAGGACUGGGAAAGCAAGACACGGAAGGGAAAGCCCCAAAAAAGUCCUUUGAAGAGAAGCUCUGGACCUAGAAAGGGAGGAAAAAACCCGCUGCCCUAAUGAGUUCACUCAGUCAUGGUCUGAAAGGGCCCUUGGGAGAAGACGGAGAAGGAAACCAGCCCAGAAGAGUAAGAGACCUGCCGGUGGUCUCACGACAUGUCAGCACAGAGGUGGAGUCUACCCCCACCUCACACCCACCUCACACUUCCAUCCCCUUGCCUGCCUGCUACUUCUGGAAUGCCUCCCCUGCCCCCCACCAGAUCUCUGAGCUCCUCUUCCAGGAAGGCACCUGGUCAUCCCCAUCUGUCUGGCCUCCCCAGCCUCUGACCUCUGGAUCCAACUAUCGUCUUCUGUGUACAUCAGUCUGCCAGUUAGACCCGAAGUUGCACUGGCAAGGCUUAGUUAUUAGAUGGGCAGUGGCCAUUUUCAAAAUAAAAAUUGGAACUUGUGCUCCAACCAG